AUGGCGACGACCAGCAACAAGAAAAUGGCGUCGCCGUCGCCUAUGACGGACAUGCCCGACCAGCUCCUCGCCGAGAUCUUCCUCCGGCUGCCCACCCCACAAGACCUCGCCCGCGCCUCCGCCGUUUGCCUCACCUUCCGCCGAAUCUCCACCGACAGGUCCUUCCUCCGCUGCUUCCGCUGCCUCCACGCACCACCACUUCUCGGAUUCCUCGACCGCGACGGCUUCCACCCAGCCCUAACCUCCACCCCCGCCGUUCGCGCGGCCGCCGUCGCCGCCGAUUUCACCUUAUCCUUCCUCCCCUACCACCGCCGCUGGACCGUGCAGGACGUCCGCGACGGCCGCGUCCUCCUCUGCCGCAGCAUCGGAAAACAUGGGCAGCCCCCGGUCUUCAGAGAUCUCGCGGUGUGCGACCCCUUGCACCGGCGCUACGUCCUGCUCCCCCCGCUACCUCACGACCUGGCUGCUUUGCUUGGGCACCCUUUCCCCCCGGUAACCGAGGCCUGCUGCAAGCGCUUCCUCGUUCCCCUCGGUGAGGAGGAGGCAGCGGCUGGAGACACAACAUUCAUAGUCAUCUUGAUGGCAUAUUGCAAAACCAGUCUGGCUGCCUUUGUCUUCUCUUCCAGCAACGAUCAAUGGCAAGCUACUGCAUCCAAGGAUUUGAGUGAUUUGGCCCUUGACGAGGGCGACAUGGAGGAGAUGUCAAGGGUCCAGCCUUUUAUUCCCAUGCGCCAUUAUGCUUAUGGCUGUUUCUACUGGGACUGGGUGCAAUUCGGGAUGAAGAAGUUGCUCUUGCUUGACACCACGAACAUGGAGUUCUCCACUGCUGACCUCCCACCAGGAGAAUGGAGCAAGGAAGGUAUAGCCAUUGUGGAGGCAGGGGAAGGCAGGCUCGGGAUCUUUGGUUUCCAUGGUGGACUUGCAUCCAAUCUCAGCUAUACAGCUGCACGGACCAAAGGCGAGAGUCCCAGCCAGUGGCAGAUGGAGAAGACAAUCUCACUAGAUUCUGGCUACAAAUAUUGUAUCAGAGACGCAACACAGAGGUACUUGCUCUUGACAAGGAUAGAAGCAUCAUCUCCAAAUAAUCACCUUGUUGGAUAUUUCUCAAUGGAUAUCAAGACGUUGCAGCUUCAGAGGGUUUAUGAGAAACAGCACUAUAAGUAUCCGACAUACGCAUAUAUCAACUUCCCACCAUCAUUGUUGUCUUCAAGGAGAAUAUGA
RNAcentral lists this ribosomal RNA (1221 nucleotides) under Triticum aestivum (bread wheat). Its description in RNAcentral is "partial small subunit ribosomal RNA". The record is from RNAcentral. Lineage: Eukaryota; Viridiplantae; Streptophyta; Magnoliopsida; Poales; Poaceae.